This 329-nucleotide ribosomal RNA is filed under the name uncultured eukaryote. RNAcentral describes it as "partial 18S ribosomal RNA". It matches the Rfam family "Eukaryotic small subunit ribosomal RNA", at positions 1470 to 1796 of the family's 1831-position model. The record is from RNAcentral.
CCCUUAGAUGUUCUGGGCCGCACGCGCGCUACACUGACGAUGGCAACGAGUUUUUCCUUCGCCGAAAGGUGUGGGUAAUCUUUUGAAACAUCGUCGUGCUGGGGAUAGAUCAUUGCAAUUUUUGAUCUUGAACGAGGAAUUCCUAGUAAGCGCGAGUCAUCAGCUCGCGUUGAUUACGUCCCUGCCCUUUAUACACACCGCCCGUCGCUACUACCGAUUGAAUGGUUUAGUGAGGACUCCUGAUUGGCGCCGCCGCCCCGGCAACGGAGCAGCGGACUGCCGAAAAGUUGUUCAAACUUGAUCAUUUAGAGGAAGUAAAAGUCGUAACA